UCACAAUAACUUACAACCAUCCGAUAUGAAAUCUGAUAGUUUAGGUGUGUUACAAAGUUUGAAAAAAUUUCUUUUAAAGUUUGAGCUUGGUCAAUGAAAUAAAUACAUCCAUCCAAUUUCACAUCCAAAGGUCAAGAUUAAUUGUGACUAUUUUGUAUCAAAGAUAAUUGGUCUCAUUGUAUACUUUUCCUAUUGUAAUAAAUCUGUACUACUUAUUUUAGGUCCCCAUGAAUUUGAUGUCGUAUCUCUCAAGUUGUGUUUACUCAUAGAUGCAUUUUGGGAUGAAGGGCAUUCUUCUCUUCUAUCUUGAUCGCAGUUCCUUGAUGACUUCUUAGGGCUGUUAAUUGGAUGCGCCCUAGUAAACAUCUAUGACUUCUACUCCUCCAUUAUCUCGUAAUCUGAAUUUCAUAUGCAAUAGUUAAAAAUGGUUAUGACGUAUAAAAAUAAAUGGUCUCAUAAUAUAUAAUUCUUAACAAUAUUUGUACUAUCUUUACAAGAAAACAAUAGCUGCCGCGUGGAAGGCACUUGAGAUAAAAAGGAGCUAAUAUGUCAAACAUUUUCUCCAUGAGCACAGAAGAGUGAAUCAUAAUGCAUAUGCAGUAAGUUUUUCUUUUUUGAGAUCCAUAUAGCUAAUUUGCACUAGUGGAAAAUCAAUGCUGACGGAAGUGUUGAGAGUCAUCACGGACUCAUCAUGUUCUGCUCGAGGGAUGGGGCCAAUAUACUUGGAUGCUACAUGGAUACAUAAUAUUUUCAAUUUUUUUGAGCUGAUAACUAUCGUUAAAUAUUUUAUUAGAUAAAUUUUUUGUAUUAUUCAUUAUAAUGUUAUUUUUUUAAUAAAUUUGAGAUACUUUCUCACUCUAAAUAUUUGAGAUAAUUUCUCUUUAAAAUUUUUUAAAUAGUUUGUCUCUUUAAAAUUUGUUGUAGUUUCCGUCUCUAAAAUUUUAAGAUAUUAUCUCUCCGUAAAACUUAAAAUUUGAUAUAGUUUAUCGCUCAAAAAAUUUUGAGAUUGUUUUACUCUUGUCAAAAAAAAAAUUGAGACAAUUUCUCUCUCUGCAAAUUUUCAAGUAGUUUCUCUCUUUAAAAUUUGAUAUAUUUCUCUCUAAAAUUUUAAGAUUCUCUAAAAUUUUUGGGAUAGUUUCUCUCUAUAAAAUGUAGAGAUAGUUUCUCUCUAUAAAAUGUAGAGAUAUUUUAUCUAUAAAAAUUUUGAAAUAUUUUCUCUCUAAAACUUAAAUUUGAGAUAGUUUUUUGCUUUAAAAUUUUUGAUAUAGUUUCUCUCUCUAAAAUUUUUGAGAUAUUUUCUUUCUAAAAAUUUUCAGGUACUUAAUCUCUCUAAAACUUAAAUUUGAGAUAGUUUCUCUCUAAAAUUUUAAGAUACUUUUCUCUCUAAAAACUAAUAUUUGAGAUAGUUUCUCUUUUUAAAAAUUUUAAGAUAGUUUCUCUCUCUAAAAAUUAUUGAUUCUUUCUAAAACUUAAAAUUUGAGAUAAUUUAUUUCUAAAUAUUUUGAGAUAGUUUCUCUCUCAAAAUUUUGAAGUAGUUUCUCUCUCUAAAACUUAAAAUUUAAGAUAAUUUCUCUAGUUUCUCUCUCUAAAUAUUUUCAAGCAUUUUUUUUUUUUAAAUUUAAAAUUUGGAAUAGUUUCUCUCUCAAUAUUUUUGAGAUAGCUCCUCUCUCUAAAAUUUAAAAGUUAAGAUAGUUUAUCUCUCUAGAAAUUUGACAGAGUUUCUCUCCCCAAAUUUUUUUUAAUAUUUUCUCUAUCUAAAACUUAAAAUUUGAGGUAGAUUGUCUCUUUAAAAUUUUUAAGUACUUUCUCUCUCUAAAACUUAAAAUUUGAUAUAGUUUCUCUCGAAUUUUUUUUAAGUAUUUUCUCUUUAUAAAACAUAAAAUUUGAAAUAGUUUCUCUCUCUAAAAUUUUUUAGAUAGGUUUUCUCUCUAAAACUUUUUAGGUCUCCCUAAAAAACUUGACACAGUUUCUCUCUAAAAUUUUAAGAUAUUUUCUCGUUCUAAAACUUAAAAUUUGGAAUAGUCUCUCUAAAAAAUUUGAGAUAGUUUCUCUAUCUAAAAAAUUUGAAAUAAUUUCUCUCUAAAAGUUUUCAAGUCCUUCCUCUAUCUAAAACUUAAAAUUUAAAAUAGUUUCUCUCUCUCUAAAACUUUGUUUUAAUACUUCUCACUCUAAAAUUUGAUAUAGUUUCUUUCUAUAAAAUUUUAAAUUAUUUUCUCUCUAAAAUUUAAAAUGUGAAAUAGUUUCUUUCUAUAAAAACUUUGAGAUAGUUUCUCUCUAUAAAAAUUUUUUAUAGCUUUCCUCUCUAAAAUUAGAAAUACUUUAUCACUCUAAAAUAUUAAGAUACUUUCUCUCUCUAAAAAAUAAAAUUUGAUAUAGUUUUUCUAUCUAAUUUGUGGGGAUAUUUUUGUGGAAUUAAUUGUAUUUUUAUAAAGUGGAUGUCUCCCUAACAGGGAAGUCUGGCUAGAAGUCAAUUUCGGAGGGUAAAGCGAAACAUAUUUCUUUAUUUUUUUGCUUGAAAUAAGGAAAACAAUUACAUAAGGAAAUAUAUUUCAAUCCCACAAUUUCGAUCCAAACACCAGAACUGUACCAUUUCCACUUACAAACAUUUAUAGAAAUGUAUUUCCAAGUAUCCAGAUGACCCCUAAUUGCUUUGUUUUAUUUUAAUAUAAGUUCUUUCUAUAGUUUAAUAUAGUUUUGUCUUUUUGUAGGUCAAAAUCAAAUUAGGAAAUGUGGCUACCCUACACUCUAAGAAACGCAAGGGCAGGGACCUUCCUGUUUGGGACCAUCUUCAAAGAAUAAAACAAUGGAUAUAUAAGGUUAACACCUUGUAUUGUAGAAUUAAGGUGCACUUCAAAAUUCGAUCAAAAAAAGAAAAGAAAAUGAUCUUUUGAUGUUGAAAAACCAUCUAAAGAUGCGGGGAAAGAAAAAAAAAACAAAAUCUUGAAGUCCCAAAAAUUGUACAUCUUACAAUUUAUUAUCUGGAUUGUCCAUUUUUAAGAAUUUCAUGUGUUUAUAGAUCUGUUUGAUUUGAACCAUUUUUGGAGUUUAAAAUUUUAUAAUUAGAGAUAAAAGGAGAUUCUCGGGUAAUUCUAAAAAUUUUUGACAUCCAAAUUGCAUCUCAUGACAAAAUUUGAAGGCGUACCUUACUUUGAUAAUUUAAGAUUACAACUUUAUGCAAAUCACAUACUAAAAUGAUAUACAGUCUACUCUAUUGUUGUAAAACAACACUUCCAACUUCCUCUCUUCCCUCACUCUUAGGGCGUGCUUGACUGCAUUUCCAUAUGGCAGUGGGAGUCUCCCAUUCAUUAUGGAAGACUGCCGUUUCAUCUUUCAAACAUAGGAGUGAAAUGUUCCAUAUGCACUUCCAAAAAAAUUCCUAUUAUCAAACACGCCCUCGUAGUAAAGAGGUGGCCCCUUACCUCUCUUUUUUAUUUGAUGCUGAAGCCUAUAUCUGCAUGCUGGCACCCACAGUGCUUGCACAUUCUUCAACAACCCAACGAAUACUGCUUAGUAGGGCACCAUGCCCCUGGUUCACGCCAGGGGUGCACCAUGCCCCUGGUUCACGCCAGGGGUUAAUGGCCAGGGCACUAUGCCCCUGGUUCACGCCAGGGGUUAAUGGCCCAGGCACCUCAGCCUUGCCUUAAAGGCCCCAACUACCAAAUUUG
Molecule: long non-coding RNA, 3665 nt
Filed under: Amborella trichopoda
Lineage: Eukaryota; Viridiplantae; Streptophyta; Magnoliopsida; Amborellales; Amborellaceae
Description: long non-coding RNA (ATRI_LNC004512)
Source: RNAcentral